GCUCCGGUAGUAUAGCCCGGCCAAGUAUUCCGGCCUUUCGAGCCGGGGCUGGAUACGCGGGUUCGAAUCCCGCCCGGAGCACCA
This 84-nucleotide transfer RNA is filed under the name Candidatus Bathyarchaeota archaeon. Its description in RNAcentral is "tRNA-Glu". It matches the Rfam family "tRNA". From Rfam's summary of the family: Transfer RNA (tRNA) molecules are approximately 80 nucleotides in length. Their secondary structure includes four short double-helical elements and three loops (D, anti-codon, and T loops). Lineage: Archaea; Thermoproteati; Candidatus Bathyarchaeota. The record is from RNAcentral.